CAAGGCUGCAUUUCCCGGUACACACGGAAGAGAAAGCCUCCUCAGGUCAGCUCUGCUGACUGACCCCUCAGCCCAGGCCCCAGUGCUGUGUGCAGUAGGGAGCUGGCACCAGUUCCCGGCUGUACAAUUCCUGACACCUGUUAUCUAUCCUCCAGUUGAUCAAAAAGUUGAGCUACAUUUGCUCGACAUGUCAGAAGUGAUAUAGAGAGCGGGGAUUUCACAGUCUCCGUGGCAAGAGCAGGCUAUCAGGGAUGCAUAAAGAAAGCCGCAUGUGUCAGAUUGCGGGAUGAAUGGCGCUUCCCAGCUUCUCCAUUCACUCCCCUUAUUUCGAUGUACACACCAGCAACACUCCAUUUUUAAGAUUCAGAGUUGGAGGAGACUACACGGCUCCCAUACCCACCACCCUCACUUGACAGAUGAUGAAAAGUAUAUCCUAAGAGAUGGCGCAUCAUGCCAAAUACCAUAUGGUGAAUUAACUCCAACAGAAGAAAAGAAUAACAAAAGCUCACACAAGAAGUUGGGUCCGUGCCCGUAUCAUGCCCAGGCAUCUGGCCAAAGCAAUUAAUCCUGUGAAAAAAAAUAAUUUCAAAAAACCCAUCGCUUUAUGUGAAAAAAUUUAAAAAUACUAAUGUUUGAACUCCCUCCCCUGUUCGUGAAAUUCUGUUCUAUUUUCCGGGUGUUGGCAUUCCUCAAGUACCAUAAACCAUUGUAAUCUGUAGUUGGCAUUGGAGAGCCUGGUAGAAUACAGCAGGGAAUUGCUUGGAGCCCAAUGACACAAGAAUGAGUCUGGGCCAUUUCAAGAUCAUCAGUGUGGCUCUGGGCAGGCUGAUUAACUGCUUCUAUCUAUCUAUUAACAUAUCCAUUAAUCCUUAUGUCACACAAAAGCUGAAGCCAAGAUGAGACAAUGCUCAUGAAAGUGUCUAGCCAACUCUGAAGUGCUGUAGUCUGUGAGUCCAGACCCUUCAGACACAGCCAGUGGAACACCUAGAACUUUUCUUUUUGAUAUUCAGUAAUUGAACUCAACGCAGUCCUAUUUAUUGAAUUUCUACUAGGAAAGGAACAUUUUUUGUUAGGUGCUGGUCACAUCAACGUGAAGACAUUCUACAGAGAUGAAGACACUGACCACCCACCUCUUCUAGAAGGGGAAGUGGACAUUAAAAAGGCCGCCGUUCCAAAGAUGUAGGAAAAUGAAGAAUCAGCCUUGUGGGCAAGAGGAGGAUUGCAUUAGCCAGUAGGCAGCACCCUUUGCUGGCAGAGAGAGAAAUCUGAGCCUCAGCCGCGCCAGCCAGGAGCAGGCUUUGCACAAACUAUCUGGUUUCAAGUUGCUGAGUCUCCGGAGUCCCUGGGAAGGUGCCCCAGGGACAGGACUCCCUUUGCAGGGCCCUGAGGAUAGAUGAGAAUUCCCCAUCCCCAGCCACCGGGAAAACAAGCAGGACCCCAGCAAAAGAACAAUUAAACAGAGACAGCCAACUAAAAAGGCAAUUCUAGGAGAUGAUAAAAAAAGAAUGCAGAUCCCAAGCCUAAGCCUAUCCUUGGACAUCUGCAGGUUUUUCUGAAAACCGAGUGUCUGGUACAGACUGCGAGGGAGCACCAGUUUCGGCAGUUGGCUACUUUCUCUCCCCACUUGAAAGGCAGACGCGUGGCGCUGCUUAGCUGCAAGCGUGCAGAGGUCUAGCCCACCAAUUUGGGAAAGAACUUCAGCAAAGUCGGAGAGUCCAGUGACCCUUGCGUCUAGGAAGAUCUGUGCCUGUGAAGGGUCAGUGCCCCAGGCCUCUGGAGAAAUGCUACUGCGGACCUAUUAUAAUAAGAGAUAGCCCUCGCUAUCAAGACUGCACCAAAUGGGACUCUUGCCACAUGUACCCCCCCCAAUUAACCCCUACCCUGUCACCACACUAUAACCUCUGCGUUCCGACGGAGUAAUAACUCCAACACACAAAAAUGAAGAGAGUGCAAAAGGGACAUCUGUGCCAGGCACAGAUGCUAUCUAAAGUACUUUCACAAACUCCUGAAGGUUCUCUGUGAUGCAUCUUUUACAGGUGAGGAGUUGACGAUGAAGGUUUGGCAAGCUGACCAGCCAAGGCCAUCCAGAUACCCAUUAUCAUUCCUGAAGCUAGGGCCGCUUCAAGCCAGCGGUGCUAAAGCACUUCCCACACUCAUUCCUUCAAGUACCUUUGCGUCCUGUGCACGUCACUGGUGGCAUUACAACUCCACUCUCCAAUGAAGAAACUAGCCAGAGAAGCUGGUCACGUAGCUAGGAAGGGAGGAAGAAUUCCACCUCUUAUACACGCAAUUAUACCAUGUCUCAGUAAUAUACCAUAAUACAUGUGGCAUAACCCCACAUAUCCACAAACCGAAUCAUCUGGCAAGAGCUUUAGACACUGUGCAGAACUUAGCAGUGAUCUGUGUCUUCCGCCCAACCUGGCUGUGCGUGGCACUGGAUGGUCCUGAUUCUCCCAGCUUGCUCAGCAGAAGCUGUAAGGAGGUGCGGGCAAGGUUCCAACUGUAAAGGGCGCUUUUCAGUCCUGCAGAAGGCUACCUGCCACCGGGAUCAAGGUGACAGAGACAUUCUCCACCCUUGGAUAACACUCCUUUGUCUUUUUUUUUUUUGAGGAGCAAUGACUUCACAGCCGCUGUAAUUCUUGCCUGUUUUCUCUAGUGUCUCCAUUUAUUUUUAUUUUAUGUACAUUGGUGUUUUGACUGCAUGUAUGUCUGAGUGAGGGUGUCAGAUCCCCUGGAGCUGGAGUUACAGACAGUUGUGAGCUGCCAUAUGGGUGCUGGGAAUUGAAUUCUGGUCCCCCGGAAGAGCUAUCAGUGCUCUUAACCACUGAGCCACCUCUCCAGUCCCCACUUCAGCUAUCUCGAGUGUCAGCCUGGUGUGCUUGGCAUGGCUACCGGCCUCUGGUUGAUAAUACAGGUGCACAUGUGUGCGAUAUGCAGGGAAGUCUGAACUUAAGCAUCCUCUAAAAGAAAUGUUCUCUGUCGCAGGCACGAUAAAAAAAAAAUAAAAAGCCUGUAAAACCCCCAUUAAGCAGACUGUCAGGCUCUUUAGACAUCAAAUAACUCUCACAAAACAACAUUUUAAUGAUUUAAGUGUAAAUGAAUCAGAAACACAUGGGCUGCAUUUCUUUUGGAAUACACAAGGGUUUUCAAACCAACGGAGAAAGAACUUGGCAAGACCAACACAGUGCGCAUUGGCCUUGCCCAGGAAAGGAGUCCCUCAAUUCUUCCUGCAGCUCAGCGUGCCCUCCCCUGGCUUUAGCGUAUGUGUUAGGAAAAACGUUUCUUUUUUUUUUUUUUUUUCUGGCUCAGGGCACAGAGGGAAGGGCUUGGGAGGGGUAAACCACAAGCCGCCCCUUUGUGAAGUGUCACACAGAGCAAGUAAGCCUCCGGGGAUACCUUCCUUUUUUAAGGCUGCCAGCGAUCCACGGGAGAUGUUUUGAAGGAUAUUCUGAGCUCAAGUUCUGGCAAUGUGCAGCAGAUCUGGUGUGUGCCUUCCCUAGGAGUCAGCCAAAGCUCAGUGGAAGGCUCUGGGUGUGGCUCCCGCAGCUCUUCCCUGGCUUGGACUAGUCCUUUGCUGAAGGCUCGCUGAGAUGUCCUCAUCAUCCUCAUCAGAUCCAGGUGUGGGCCGGAUGCCCUUGCUGCCCUGGAGCACUAGGCUUCCGGGUCUGCAGUCUCAGUUGUCGCAGCUUUAGGGAAGCCACCUACUUAGGCGAGGCAUCAGUUCACUUGUGUAGGAGCUCACAGAGCAGGAUGUGGGUGUGAAAAGAUGCUCUGAUGGUCAGCAGCUUCCCCGUGCGGGUACAGGAGGCCAGAGGGGCUGAAAGUGCCAAUUGCUUCCUCUGUGGUUUUGACAGUGUCGUCAUUCAUUUAUUCAUAAUCCUAUCACGGAUAUUAAGAAAAACUCAUGUUUGGAAAGAUUCAAUUAGUUUCUUUAAAAGUCUGAAAAAAAAAUAGUUUAAAAUGCACACAAGGAACCCGUAGUUCUUUAGUUCUAAGCAUAGAAAUCUGGACCGCAAGGGCGGGUGAAGAGCCCUCGGAUGACAGUCCGGAAGCCCUGUUAGAAAGGCAGCCUCUGUGGAAAUGAGUCCUACAGCUUUCCUACCCUGGAACGCCGGGGUUUACAUUUUCUACCGUAAGUAUUUACUUUGUAGCCUCUCAGUGAAAGUUUCUGGAACUCUGCGAAUGCGUCAGAAAAUGUAAAGAAUUUGCUCAGUGGAUUUUUCUUCUGCAGGGGGGGGGGGGCAAAGCUUGAAACCUGGGCUUCCUUACGAAUGUGUGAGAAGAGAAUAAAGAAAGAACGUGAGUGCGGUUUAGAGUUACAAUUGUGGUAGGUAGUUCAGCUCAUUGACCAGGAGUAUGCCAAAGGCCAUAACUUCUGAUCUUCCAGGUCAUCACGAUAAUGUGGGAAAUUAAAAGAAUUCCCAUGCUUCAUCCCAGAAGAGUCAAGUUCACAUCAGCUGAAUCUGAAAUUGUGAAACUCCGCCUGGGAUGACUGCACCAUUUUAUUUUUUAAUGCGUACAACACAGAGCAUCAUUAUAAAUGGGGCUAUUUUUUUUUAUUUCUUUCUUGGCACAUUGUCUUUCAGUGUCUUUUAUGUUGAUUUUACAUCCUGCUACUUUGCUGUCAGUGUUUAUCAGUUCUAAGGGUUUUUUUCUUCUUUCUUCUUUUUUUUUUUCCACAAAGUCCUUAGGGUCUUUAACACACAAAAGACACUGUUUGUUUACAAAUAUGCUAAAAAUUAGUCAUUCUUCAAGAAGCAGUUCCAGGAAAACUAGCUAUCCACAUGUAGGAGAAAGGAACUAGAUCCCCAUCUCUCAUACUGUAUAGAAAUCAACUCAAAAUGUGCCGAAGAUGCUGUGUAAGACCUGGAAUUCUGAUUGUGUUAGAGAAAAACAUAAGGAGGAUAUAUCAAGAUAUAGAUAUAGGAAAAGACUUUCUGAAAAGGACUCUAGCAGCUAGAAAAAUAAAAUCAAGAACUCACAAAUUAUUUUGCAACACUAAGAGGCACCUAUACAACAAAGGAGAUAAUCUAAUGAGGAGACAACAGAGAGAGCAACAAAGAGGAAAUCUUUGCCAGCUACAUGUCUCACAGAAGUUUAACACCUAGACUGCAUAAAGAACUGAAAAUGUCAAACACUCUGAAGCCAAACAUCUCAAGUGAAGAACGAAAUGAAGAGACAGUUCACAAAGAGUUCUUCAGUGAAGUACAAACAGCCAAUGAACAAGUGAAAAAAAUAGUUAGCAUCCUUUGCCAUCAAAGACAUUGAUAUUAACACUACUUUGAGAUUCAUUUCAUCUCGCCUCAGUCAGAAUGACCAUCGUCAUGAAAACACUCAGUUAUCACACCAUGGUACAAAGUUCUAUCUAUUUAUGACAUACAAUAUGAUUUAACAUAGGUGAAUAUGGAAUGUACAGAUUCAACACAUUAACAUAUAUGUCUACUAGAAGAAAAUAGCUGGCAAAUGCAAAUUAGGUCUUGGUUUCAUGGAGGACAUGGAAGGUCCUCUGUAGUGGUGGGAACUUGGACUGUGACUUGUGACAUUGUCACACAGAGGAAAGGGGGUCUGCUUUUAAACCUGAAGGUUCACCCUGAUAGCAACCCACAUCUUCCAGGGAAUCCCCGUUUUCCAGUGCCUCACAAUCUCCCAGACCAGUGCUAGCAUCUAAGAAAACAAACCAAACCGAAGAUGUUUUCUUCUAAUAUAUUAGUAUUUGGUUGAUUUAAAUUAUUCCUUGUGUUGUUGCUUAGCAUUAUUUAUUUUGCAUCUCGGGAGUUUUUUUUUUUUUUUAUGUUAUCUACCGAGGAGCCUGUUUUUCCCAUAGGUUAUUCUUGACACCUUUGGCAAAGACUUUCAUCUCCAUUUCCUUAUGUACGUGGGUCUCUGCCAUGCACCAUUAGUCCACAUGUCUGUUUGUUGUGCCUUAUUAUUUAUUUUGAUUUCUGUAGAUUUAAAUGUUACUUUCACUAUACUGUAAAGUCAAGAGUUGUGCUGCCUCUAACUUUGUUCUUUUAUGUAAAAUUUUUCUUGAAGCUGCUUGAAAUAUUUUGUAGUUCCAUAAAAUGUUUGAUAUUUUUCCACCUCUGUGAAAAAUAUUAGAAUUUUCAGAGUGACAGCAUCAUAUCUGUAUAUUACUUUGAGUAGUGUGGGUAUUUUAUUUACCUGUAUAUAACUUUGGGUAGUAUGGUCAUUUUAUUUUAGUUACACUUUCAUAUUUAUUCAUCUUUGUGCAUGUAUGUACAGACAUAGGUGUCAUGGAACACAUGAGAAGGUCAGAAGACAACUUGGAGGAGUUGAUUUUCUCUUUCCAACAAUUGUGUUCCUGGAAUUGAAGUUAAGUCUUCAGUCUUGAUAGCAAAAACCUUCACCCUCUGGACAAUCCUGCUCACCCAGAAAUUAAAAAAAAAAAAUCAUUUCUUCAAAUCCAUGAUAAGGGGCAUAUAUCCAUUUGUUUAUAUUCUAUUUACUUUCUUUCACUAGUCUGUUAAUGUACAGAAAUGCAACUGAUAUUUGUGCACUGAAUCUGUAUCUUAUAACAGGGUUUAAAAAAUUAUUUUACCCCUCCCCCCCAAAGGAGGAGCAGCCUUGCUAGGCCACAGAAGAGGACAUGCAGCCAGUCCUGAAGAGACCUGAUAAGCUAGGGUCGGAUGGAAGGGGAGGAGGUCCUCCCCCAUCAAUGGACUUGGAAAGGGGCAGGGAGGAGAUGAGGGACAAAGGGUGAGACUGGGAGGGAAUGAGGGAGGAGGCUAUGGCUGGGAUACAAAGUAAAUAACCUGUGAUUAAUAUAAAAAAUAAAAAAAAUAUUUUAACAGUUUUCUUUAGACUUCUAAAGCUUUCUAAGUGUAGGAUGAUAUCAAUAUAACUUUUCCCUUUUAACUUGUAUACCUUAGAUUUAAUUAUUUGAUUUUCUUUUUCUUAUUGCUCUCUCUAGUACUAGCACUCUGAAAAGUAGCACCACAAAUGAACAUUCCUGUGUUGUUCUGAUGCCAGAGGAAAACAAAAGCUUUGUGCUUUUAACAGUUGAGUAGGAUGUUGCCAUGAGCACAUCAUAUACAGCCUUUGUUAGGUUAAGGUACAUUACUUCUGUACUUUGCUGAUAAGAGCAUAAAGGGAUGGUGAACUUUGUCAAUUCUUUUUUGCUCCCCAUUGAGGUGAUCAUAUAGUUUUUUUUUAAAGAUUUGUUUUUAUUUAUUACAGAUACAAUGUUCUAUCUGCAUGUACACCAGCAUGACUGAAAAGGACACCAGGUCUCAUUAUAGAUGGUUGUGAGCCACCAUGUGGUUACUGGGAAUUGAACUCAAGACCUUUGGAAGAGCAGUCAGUGCUCUUAACCUCUGAGCCAUCUCUCCAGCCCGAUCAUACAGUUUUUGUUCAUUUUAUUACAAUAUCACGUUUAUUGAUUGGCAUGUGUAGAGCCAUUUGUAUUAAGAGGGAGCAAGUUUAUUCCAGCUUACAAUGAAGGGCUACACCGCCCUUGGAGGGAAAGAAGACGUAAUGGCAGUAGCACGAGGCAGCUGGUCAUAUCGUUUCUGCGGUAAGGAAGAGAAGAGUAGACAGCAGGCUGGAAGUGAGACAGGAUGUAAAAUCAUCCUCCCACAGUGGCCUGCUUCCUACAACAAGAAUCUGCGCCCUAAAAGUUCCACAGCCUUCUGAACAGCAUCCUCAGCUGAGGAUCAAAUAUUUCAACACCGGAGCCUAUGGGGACUUUCUGUGUUAAAACCACGGCAUCCCUCCUUUGGCCCUCAAAGACACGUGGCAAUCUCAUGCUUCAAAAUACAUUCUUUCCAACCUAAAAUGCCCUACGGUCUUGGACACUCCUGUUGCGAACGUUUUGGUUUAUGAUAUGUAAAUGUAUGUUUAUGAUAUGGAAACAUGUUUUUGUUACAAUUUCA
Molecule: long non-coding RNA, 7892 nt
Organism: Meriones unguiculatus (Mongolian gerbil)
Lineage: Eukaryota; Metazoa; Chordata; Mammalia; Rodentia; Muridae
Exons: 4
Source: RefSeq, a predicted model, not a curated record